UGGGGAAUCUUGGUCAAUGGGCGCAAGCCUGAACCAGCGACGCCGCGUGAGUGAUGAAGGCCUUCGGGUUGUAAAGCUCUGUGGGGAGGGACGAAAGACUGAGGUCUAAUAGGCUUCAGGUUGACGGUACCUCCUUAGCAAGCACCGGCUAACUCUGUGCCAGCAGCCGCGGUAAGACAGAGGGUGCAAACGUUGCUCGGAAUCACUGGGCGUAAAGGGCGUGUAGGCGGGAAGGCAAGUCAGAUGUGAAAGCCCCAGGCUCAACCUGGGAACUGCAUUUGAAACUGCUUUUCUUGAGUACCGGAGAGGAAAGUGGAAUACCUGGUGUAGAGGUGAAAUUCGUAGAUAUCAGGUGGAACACCAGUGGCGAAGGCGGCUUUCUGGACGGUAACUGACGCUGAGACGCGAAAGCGUGGGGAGCAAACAGGAUUAGAUACCCCCGUAGUCC
Molecule: ribosomal RNA, 448 nt
Filed under: uncultured bacterium
Lineage: Bacteria
Description: bacterial SSU rRNA
Rfam family: Bacterial small subunit ribosomal RNA
Source: RNAcentral